CGCACGGGUGCGUAACGCGUGGGAAUCUGCCCUUGGGUUCGGAAUAACAGUUAGAAAUGACUGCUAAUACCGAAUGAUGUCGUAAGACCAAAGAUUUAUCGCCCAGGGAUGAGCCCGCGUAGGAUUAGCUAGUUGGUGUGGUAAAAGCGCACCAAGGCGACGAUCCUUAGCUGGUCUGAGAGGAUGAUCAGCCACACUGGGACUGAGACACGGCCCAG
RNAcentral lists this ribosomal RNA (218 nucleotides) under uncultured bacterium. RNAcentral describes it as "partial 16S ribosomal RNA". It matches the Rfam family "Bacterial small subunit ribosomal RNA", at positions 99 to 334 of the family's 1533-position model. The record is from RNAcentral.